RNAcentral lists this ribosomal RNA (448 nucleotides) under uncultured bacterium. RNAcentral's name for it is "bacterial SSU rRNA". It matches the Rfam family "Bacterial small subunit ribosomal RNA", at positions 28 to 449 of the family's 1533-position model. The record is from RNAcentral.
GAUGAACGCUGGCGGCGUGCCUAACACAUGCAAGUCGAACGGAGUUAUGAUGUGAGCGGGAAGUGCUUGCACUAAACAAUCUUUUCAUAACUUAGUGGCGGACGGGUGAGUAACGCGUGGGUAACCUGCCCUGUACUGGGGGACAACAGUUGGAAACGACUGCUAAUACCGCAUAAGCGCACGGGAUCGCAUGAUCGUGUGUGAAAAACUCCGGUGGUACAGGAUGGACCCGCGUCUGAUUAGCUGGUUGGUGAGGUAACGGCCCACCAAGGCAACGAUCAGUAGCCGGCCUGAGAGGGUGAACGGCCACAUUGGGACUGAGACACGGCCCAAACUCCUACGGGAGGCAGCAGUGGGGAAUAUUGCACAAUGGGGGAAACCCUGAUGCAGCGACGCCGCGUGAGUGAAGAAGUAUUUCGGUAUGUAAAGCUCUAUCAGCAGGGAAGAA